Molecule: ribosomal RNA, 212 nt
Filed under: uncultured bacterium
Lineage: Bacteria
Description: partial 16S ribosomal RNA
Rfam family: Bacterial small subunit ribosomal RNA (bases 1-186)
Source: RNAcentral
UGCGUAGGCGGUCGGGUAAGUCUGACGUGAAAUCUUCAAGCUCAACUUGGAAACUGCGUCGGAUACUAUUCGGCUAGAGGAAUGGAGGGGAGACUGGAAUACUUGGUGUAGCAGUGAAAUGCGUAGAUAUCAAGUGGAACACCAGUGGCGAAGGCGAGUCUCUGGACAUUUCCUGACGCUGAGGCAAACCAACGGGGAAGGCAAAACCGGGA